CUUUAAAAAAAACAUUUAAAAUCUUAAACUUUUGACUGGUAGUGAACACACCACAAAGUUUUGGGAGUGACAUUUUCAUGUAUAUUAUACUUCUGCGUGUGCAGAACAGAUAAAAAUCAUUCAGUAGAAUGCAGGAGAAACUGGGUGAUGAGCUUGUUAAAGUAAGAUAAAAAAUAAACCUGGAAUAAAAACUAUUUGGUUCUACACUGUAAAAAAAAAUCCGUAAAAAUACAGUACAAUAUACCCUAAUAAUUACAGGAAAUUUUCCGUUUUUGGUUUUUACAGGUGUUUUUCCGUAUUUUUGAAUUACGAUUUGCAUUGUGGGAACAAGAACGGUGGCUUACAUAGGCGCCAAAACAGUGAAGAGAAGAUGCGGAGAGUUUCUCGGUCAAAGUUUCAUUUUAAUGUCGGCUUUCGAAUGUGGAAAACAUGUUUUUCAUAUACUCUUCGUGGUAAACGAGUUAAAUGUCACAUAAAUUGUUUACGUAAGGUUAACUUAGUUGCUGUCUGGCUUGUUUGGCAAAUGAACGUCGGAGCUGUCGCACUCAACAUUUCUCUGCAUAUCGUCAGACAUCUUCCUCGUGGAGUUUUCUGCCAAAUGAGGACGUGAUUGCUGCUGUACUGUGAAUCUCAAGCACACCUGCAUUCUUAUCAUGGGUGAUGGGCAGUUCAAGAUUGCUGUCGUUGAAGAAGUUAAUGACCACUGUUGAGGUUGUGAGCUACAAAUACCCAGAAGAGGCGGCACUUACAUUGGAGUUCAUACAGAAAGUUUUCCUAUGAAGAAAUCCUAAAUGAGGGUUGAGAUGAAGGAAACCAAGUAGGUGAUGGGCAGUUCAAGAUUGCUGUCGUUUGAGAAGUUAAUGAACAAAUCAUCUUUCCUGUUGCGGUUGUGAGCUACAAAAUACCCAGAGGAGGCAGCACUUACUCUGGAGUUCAUACAGAAAAUUUUCCUGUGAAGAAAUCCUAAACGUGGUUUGAGAUGAAGGCAACCAAGUGGCUGUGCGUUCCUCCAAGACUCUUGCAUGAACAAUUUAAAAAAUCCAUGUAAUAUUUGAGUUUUUAGAUAGAAAAAAAUGGCACUUGCAUUAAACAUUCAGUUAAAUGGUAAAUAAUACAUCCCCUAUAAUGAAUUGCAUCACUUUGAUGAUAUUUCUGUUAUAAUGAACUUCAAAAUUGUGUUGUCAAGCCACUGGAGUCACAUACUUUAUACCUUUCUGGACCUUGAAAAUGGUAGUUGCAUAGACAAUCAAUAGAGGGACAGAAAGUACCCAGAUUUAACUAAAAAUACUCUUAAUUUGUGUUCUAAAAAUGAAUGAAAGUCUUAUGGGUUUGGAAUGGUAUGAGUAAUUGACUGAAUUAGCAUUUUUUUGUGUGAACUAUCCCUCUAAACAAUAUUGUUUUCUCUUAUAAGAAAAAAAAGUUUUGAAUCUUGACUGUUUCUCAUUGUGACGUUUAAAUUUUGUGACCACUUUUUAGUACAACACCUGUAUUGUACAGAUGCUCAUGUUUUCUUUUUUCUUUUUUUAAAUUCUGUCCGUUACUGUUUAAAGCUAAACUGUCUUUUAUAAUACAGCCAUUUUGCCUGAGUUGACACAUUGUUAAAUGAAUUGAGUAUUUGAUGCUGUUUAGUCCUAACCCACUUAAGGCAAACAAAAGCCAUUGAAUGCA
This is a long non-coding RNA of Labeo rohita (rohu), 1668 nucleotides long. RefSeq lists it as uncharacterized. The record is from RefSeq and is a predicted model, not a curated record. The transcript is spliced from 6 exons. Lineage: Eukaryota; Metazoa; Chordata; Actinopteri; Cypriniformes; Cyprinidae.